GGGGCCUUGGCUCAACGCUAGAGCAUCUGCUUUGCCUGUAGCAGGUCCCGGGUUCAAUCCCUGGCAUCUCCA
Molecule: non-coding RNA, 72 nt
Organism: Podarcis lilfordi (Lilford's wall lizard)
Lineage: Eukaryota; Metazoa; Chordata; Lepidosauria; Squamata; Lacertidae
Source: the annotation of a GenBank genome assembly